Molecule: small RNA, 126 nt
Filed under: Marmota monax (woodchuck)
Lineage: Eukaryota; Metazoa; Chordata; Mammalia; Rodentia; Sciuridae
Source: RNAcentral
GCUGGGAGUGGUGGUGAACACCUGUAAUCCCAGUGAUUCAGAAGGCUGAGGCAGGAGGAUUGCAAGUUCAAGGUCAGCCUCACAAUUUAGCAAGACUCUCAAUAACUUAGUGAGACCCUGCCUCAA